UACGUAGGGGGCUAGCGUUGUCCGGAAUCAUUGGGCGUAAAGCGCGUGUAGGCGGUCCGGUAAGUCCGCUGUGAAAGUCGGGGGCUCAACCCUCGGAUGCCGGUGGAUACUGUCGGGCUUGAGUACGGAAGAGGCGAGUGGAAUUCCUGGUGUAGCGGUGGAAUGCGCAGAUAUCAGGAGGAACACCAAUAGCGAAGGCAGCUCGCUGGGACGUUACUGACACUAAGGCGCGAAAGCGUGGGGAGCGAACAGG
This 253-nucleotide ribosomal RNA is filed under the name uncultured bacterium. RNAcentral's name for it is "partial 16S ribosomal RNA". It matches the Rfam family "Bacterial small subunit ribosomal RNA", at positions 524 to 776 of the family's 1533-position model. The record is from RNAcentral.